Molecule: ribosomal RNA, 469 nt
Filed under: uncultured bacterium
Lineage: Bacteria
Description: partial 16S ribosomal RNA
Rfam family: Bacterial small subunit ribosomal RNA
Source: RNAcentral
GACGAACGCUGGCGGCGUGCUUAACACAUGCAAGUCGAACGGAAAGGCCCUGCUUGCAGGGUGCUCGAGUGGCGAACGGGUGAGUAACACGAGGGUGAUCUGCCCCUUACUUUGGGAUAAGCCUGGGAAACUGGGUCUAAUACUGGAUAGGACCAUGCUGUAGGUGGUGUGGUGGAAAGAUUAGUUUCGGUAAGGGAUGAGCUCGCGGCCUAUCAGCUUGUUGGUGGGGUAAUGGCCUACCAAGGCGUCGACGGGUAGCCGGCCUGAGAGGGUGGACGGCCACAUUGGGACUGAGAUACGGCCCAGACUCCUACGGGAGGCAGCAGUGGGGAAUAUUGCACAAUGGGCGCAAGCCUGAUGCAGCGACGCCGCGUGGGGGAUGACGGCCUUCGGGUUGUAAACUCCUUUCAGCCAUGACGAAGCCCUUGUGGUGACGGUAGUGGUAGAAGAAGCACCGGCUAACUACGUG